Molecule: ribosomal RNA, 482 nt
Filed under: uncultured bacterium
Lineage: Bacteria
Description: partial 16S ribosomal RNA
Rfam family: Bacterial small subunit ribosomal RNA
Source: RNAcentral
AUUGAACGCUGGCGGCAUGCCUUACACAUGCAAGUCGAACGGUAACGGGCCUUCGGGUGCCGACGAGUGGCGAACGGGUGAGUAAUACAUCGGAACGUGCCCGAUCGUGGGGGAUAACGAGGCGAAAGCUUUGCUAAUACCGCAUACGAUCUACGGAUGAAAGCAGGGGACCGCACGGCCUUGCGCGGCCGGAGCGGCCGAUGGCAGAUUAGGUAGUUGGUGGGAUAAAAGCUUACCAAGCCGACGAUCUGUAGCUGGUCUGAGAGGAUGAUCAGCCACACUGGGACUGAGACACGGCCCAGACUCCUACGGGAGGCAGCAGUGGGGAAUUUUGGACAAUGGGCGCAAGCCUGAUCCAGCCAUGCCGCGUGCAGGAUGAAGGCCUUCGGGUUGUAAACUGCUUUUGUACGGAACGAAAAGCCUUCUUUUAAUACAGGAGGGUCAUGACGGUACCGGAAGAAUAAGCACCGGCUAACUACGUG